AACCAGAAGGCGCAAUGAAAGUGAAGGCACGGUCGCCGUGCUGAGGUGAGAGCUGUCACCCGGCAGCGCAUCAUCGACCGAUCCCAUCCGCUCCCUCGUGGUGCGGCGGGAUUCGAGUAAGAGUGCAUCUGUUGCGACCCGAAAGAUGGUGAACUAUGCCUGAAUAGGGUGAAGCCAGAGGAAACUCUGGUGGAGGCCCGUAGCGAUUCUGACGUGCAAAUCGAUCGUCAAAUUUGGGUAUAGGGGCGAAAGACUAAUCGAACCAUCUAGUAGCUGGUUCCCUCCGAAGUUUCCCUCAGGAUAGCUGUAGCCCGAAGCAGUUUUAUCAGGUAAAGCGAAUGAUUAGAGGUAUCGGGGAAGAAACUUCCUCGACCUAUUCUCAAACUUUAAAUAGGUAAGAAGUCCGACUUGCUCAAUUUGAAGCCGGACACAGAAUGCUGGGUUACUAGUGGGCCAUUUUUGGUAAGCAGAACUGGCGAUGCGGGAUGAACCGAACGCCGAGUUAAGGUGCCAAAGUCGACGCUCAUCAGAUCCCACAAA
RNAcentral lists this ribosomal RNA (540 nucleotides) under Phyllospongia papyracea. RNAcentral describes it as "eukaryotic LSU rRNA". It matches the Rfam family "Eukaryotic large subunit ribosomal RNA", at positions 705 to 1218 of the family's 3401-position model. Lineage: Eukaryota; Metazoa; Porifera; Demospongiae; Dictyoceratida; Thorectidae. The record is from RNAcentral.